This 122-nucleotide small nucleolar RNA is filed under the name Delphinapterus leucas (beluga whale). Its description in RNAcentral is "Small nucleolar RNA SNORA70 (ENSDLEG00000014359.1)". It matches the Rfam family "Small nucleolar RNA SNORA70". Rfam says of the family: snoRNA U70 seems to be exclusive to mammals and is a member of the H/ACA class of snoRNA which contain H (ANANNA) and ACA box motifs. H/ACA box snoRNAs are involved in the conversion of uridines to pseudouridines (5-ribosyluracil) a constituent of structural RNAs (transfer, ribosomal, small nuclear, and small nucleolar). Lineage: Eukaryota; Metazoa; Chordata; Mammalia; Artiodactyla; Monodontidae. The record is from Rfam by way of RNAcentral.
UUGCAGCCAGUUCAGCCGACUGUGCUCUUUUCCCCAUGGGGGCCCAGUGCGCAAAAGCCUCCUCGGUAGUGUAUACGGCCUGUUGCCUGUAUGGGUUGCCCUAAGGGACCCUGGAGACAGCC